ACCCUGUAGGCGGCACAAUGUAGACCACAGGCAUAUGUGAGUUUGGCUUCUUCUCUUAGUGGCAAAUAGAUAAAGAGGUUAUUCUUUGGCGUUGGGGAUGGGGCUUAUAAGGUGGUUCUAUGACCACUUAACCAAUGUGGAAAGGAACACAAAGUACUUUUGAUUAGAAAGACUGAAAAUUACAAAUUGGCUGAAUGGCAGGUGGCUGAUAGAGACACGGGCCUCAUUACACAAUUCUUUCUGUUUUUACAUUUGACAUUUUCCAUAACAAAAUAUUAAGGAAGGAAGUGGUCCCUAGGCUUCGGUUUGUCUUGGCCCAUUUUCUACUUCCAGAACUGGCCAGACUGCCUCUGCUGUCAGGGCCCUUGACCACCUGCAAGAAAUUCCAGAGACCACCGUUGUCGGUCACCACAGCAAAGAUUCUGGAGCCCUGUGCGGGCAAAGAAGAGGCAAGGCCCUCCUGAUGAAACGUGGCCUUUUAUGAGAAUACUCCUCUCUGAUAUCUGGAAAUGCGCUAGAGAAGCAGGAGGUUUUCUCAUUUCUUAUUUUCCCAGCCACCCAAAACCAAAAUAGGUUCAGAGGGGAUUUGCAGCUUCAAGUCAGAAAACUCUGCCUUGAAUUUCAGUGUUACCAAAAAAAAAAAAAAAAAAGAAAAAAAGAAAAGAGAUCAUUGUAGUCUACUAAUGUAUGUGCACAGACAAUCACGGAACCGAACCUGUUCCAGGUAUCCAGGCAAAGGAAGGCUCGUGAGAUGGAUGGGCUCCUUCAAUGGGGGCAGUUUGUACGGAAGCUUCUGGCUCCAGUAUUUCUCUGGCAACCUGAGAACACAGAGUUGGUCAGACGGAUGCUCACAAGCACAGUCCCCGUGAGUACACGGGACUGGGGAUGUGUCAGAGGGGACUAAGAGCUCAAGUUCACCAGCUGGUUUUCUCCCCUGGAGGGAAAGUGACAAGUGAGAAGAUGGUGGCUGCUAGAGAGCGGUGACCUGCACUUUACCUGGUCCCCAGGGCUGCUCACUUAUGUCUCACUUUUCUUGUUUUUCACAGCAACGAUAGGCUUUGUUCUCUGCAUCCUCCUGACUCCCAGGGAACCCUUGACACAGAUGCCGUGUUAUAUACAAACAGAAGCUCGCCCAUGGCACUUCCUCAACCGCUCACCACAGGCAGAGCGGCACACGCUUCCUCUUUCCUGGGGGGAGCUAACCUCCCCGUCAGAGCUGCCUCCGCCCUCUCCCCACUCUCCGCCCCACUUUGGAUCCCCCCCCCCCCCAGAGUCAUUUCUCUCUCUCCCCUUCUGCCUUUCCUUCUUUAUGGGAUCCUCCCCAUUCCCCUGCAUUUAAAUGCGCUCCUAGCUCCCUCAUUGGAAAAAGAAGGAAAGAGACAAACAACCUUCACUCCUUCCAUCCUAAUUCACUUCUAGCAACUAGUGUCUUUUCUUUUUGAACUUCUUCAAACCGUGAGCGUUAGUAGAAGUAACACACUACUGCACAAAUUCCGUCCCAUCUGAUCCACACAGUAUUUUCAGAAAUUUAGAUCAGUCAAGAACAUUAACAACAACAAAAAGAACGAUUUGGUUUAAAAAGAAAAAGAAAUCUGGUUUUCAGCUUGUCAGACAGAAACAUCUGGCACGACGCUCUCCUUACUUGGGGCCUGCCCGUUGGCCUGUCUGCCGCAGACCCCACCAUGCCCUGUGCUCUCACACCCAGCCGGCUUCCCCCAGGGGCUUCACCCUCUGUAGGUAACCUCUGUGAGUGUGAUCUCUGGGCUCCGGAGGUAUUCCUUUCCUCCGUGGCUACUGUAGUUACCUUCCACUCCGCUCACUCUACUGAAACCAUUUCUGCCAGGUUCACCGAUAACCUCUUACAACCAAACUCUGACACACUUUUCAGUUCUUCUCUUGCUUGACCUCUAAACUGUGUUUAAGCUUGUUGGCCACUGCUGGCAUCCCCCAGUGCAGGGCUACCGCCGCCAGCUCCCUGAGACCUUCUCUCGUCCCCCGCUCCCAGAGCCUCCCCGACCUGGCUCUCCUUUGCCACUCUGUAGGUUCUUGAUCAUUCUCUUUGCAAGCUCUUCUCCUCACAUUUGUUGACGUUUCUCAGAGCUUGGUCCUAAGCCCACUGUUUUCCCCACACUAGUCUUCAUGGGGGACCUCAGACGUGCUGUAGUAUUUUGGGCAGGAUCAUUCUAACAGCCUCAACACUGGUAUUCCUGCCUCCAAUCCAUUAUCAACACUCCAGUGAUAGUCUGUUCCCAAAGCAAAUUUGAAUAUAAUAUGCAAAACCAGUUAAUGUAUUCAUACUGCCUUUUGGGUCAAGUUCUAAUACCUCCUGGUGAUUCUCUCUGACCUUCGCCCUCUGGCCCUGCUGCCAUCUCCAGCCUCACCUCUCAGUCCUUUUCCUUUCGUCCACACCAUGCCUAGCCGUGCUGGAUUUCUUGCCGUGCUGGGAUUCCCCUGGGUGAGGUUUGUAGGUCUCUCUGCUUGGAACAUGUCCCUCUUUCCCUUCAUCUAUCCCAUUCCCACUCCCCGCUCAGGCCUUACUCCAACAGACUAUUCAGUCAGACUUUGGGGCUACCUGUUACCAGAACCCCUGGGAUGUCACCACCCUAAGUGCCAGUGCAUUCUGCUGUAAACAGGUGUGUAAAGUCCAGCAUACCUCAGAGCCUCAGGCUUUGGGACAGCAAGAACCACUUCUUAGUCAUCAUUACGCAUGCACGUAUGAGUGUGUAUGCAUGUUUGAUGUUUGUGUGUAUGUUGCGUACGUGUGUCAGCACACACAAAUAUAUUUAUGCACACACACACACACACACCCCAGCAUGGUGCAUUGAACACAGAAGAUAUUCAACAUUGGUAACUUGGGGAGUAGUCUCACCUCAAAAAUUUCUCAAGUUUUUCUCUAGUCUCACAAAUAUAUAUACGAUCACGAUACUCCAAAGCAAAUUUAAUGUUACCAGGUACAAGGGCCUCAUAUCUGAAGGAUGAGAAGAAAAAGAUUGUAUAAUUAAUACAUGGUACUGUAUAAAUAAAGUGUCAAAAAUG
This is a long non-coding RNA of Mustela lutreola (European mink), 3036 nucleotides long. RefSeq lists it as uncharacterized. NCBI's taxonomy places the organism in Eukaryota, Metazoa, Chordata, Mammalia, Carnivora, Mustelidae. The transcript has 2 exons. The record is from RefSeq and is a predicted model, not a curated record.